AGCGAACGCUGGCGGCGUGCUUAACACAUGCAAGUCGAGUGCGCAGUUCCGCUGUAGCAAUACAGUGGGAUGGGCGCACGGCGCACGGGUGAGUAUCACGUGAACAACCUGCCCUUCGGACGGGGAAUAACCCGCGAAAGCGGGGCUAAUACCGCGUACGAUUCCGGGGACUUCGGUUCCUGGUCUGAUAGCUCGCAAGGGUGACGGAGGAGGGGUUCGCGGCCGAUUAGCUAGUUGGCGGGGUAACGGCCCACCAAGGCAAUGAUCGGUAGCCGGUCGU
RNAcentral lists this ribosomal RNA (280 nucleotides) under uncultured bacterium. RNAcentral's name for it is "partial 16S ribosomal RNA". It matches the Rfam family "Bacterial small subunit ribosomal RNA", at positions 29 to 294 of the family's 1533-position model. The record is from RNAcentral.